AAAGCUCGUAGUCGGAUUUCGGGUCGGGCCGAGCGGUCUGCCGAUGGGUAUGCACUGUUCGGCGCGGCCUUCUUUCCGGAGACCGCGGCUACUCUUAACUGAGCGGGCGUGGGAGACGGAUCGUUUACUUUGAAAAAAUCAGAGUGUUUCAAGCAGGCAGCUCGCUCUUGCAUGGAUUAGCAUGGGAUAAUGAAAUAGGACUCUGGUGCUAUUUUGUUGGUUUCGAACACCGGAGUAAUGAUUAACAGGGACAGUCAGGGGCACUCGUAUUCCGUCGAGAGAGGUGAAAUUCUCAGACCAAUGGAAGACGAACCACUGCGAAAGCAUUUGCCAGGGAUGUUUUCACUGAUCAAGAACGAAAGUUAGGGGAUCGAAGACGAUCAGAUACCGUCGUAGUCUUAACCAUAAACCAUGCCGACUAGGGAUUGGAGGGUGUUCGUUUUGACCUCUUCAGCACCUUACGGGAAACUAAAGUCUUUGGGUUCCGGGGGGAGUAUGGUCGCAAGGCUGAAACUUAAAGGAAUUGACGGAAGGGCACCACCAGGAGUGGAGCCUGCGGCUUAAUUUGACUCAGCACGGGGAAACUUACCAGGUCCAGACAUUGGAAGGAUUGACAGAUUGAGAGCUCUUUCUUGAUUCGAUGGGUGGUGGUGCAUGGCCGUUCUUAGUUGGUGGAGUGAUUUGUCUGGUUAAUUCCGUUAACGAACGAGACCUUAGCCUGCUAAAUAGUUCCGGUAACUUCUUGUUGGCGGUCAACUUCUUAGAGGGACAACUUGUGAACAACAAGUGGAAGUUUGAGGCAAUAACAGGUCUGUGAUGCCCUUAGAUGUUCUGGGCCGCACGCGCGCUACACUGAAGCAUUCAACGAGUCCACCUCGACCGACAGGUCUGGGAAACCUUUUGAAAUUGCUUCGUGAUGGGGAUAGAUUAUUGCA
This 935-nucleotide ribosomal RNA is filed under the name uncultured marine eukaryote. RNAcentral describes it as "SSU rRNA". It matches the Rfam family "Eukaryotic small subunit ribosomal RNA", at positions 623 to 1588 of the family's 1831-position model. The record is from RNAcentral.